AACUUUUUCUUUUUACCCAAACCCUUUCGUAGAGAGAGAGAGUGAAGAUUGUAAAAGAAAAAUCCUCCAUUUUGGACAAAAAUCUUCAAGCCAUGGGUUGAAUCUCUAGUUUUUCCUCCGAUUAACAGCUACUGGAGUAUUAUGAAAUAGUUUUUGGAGUAGAGAGAUCAAGGAGAUACAUACUAACCCCAAUUUCGAAAAAACCCUAGCUUGAUUAAGGUCCGACGAAUCUUUGACGACACCAUUGUGAGGAAGAGGAAGUAUACUAGUGAUUGAGUAAGCAUAUCACAGGUUGAGAGGGAAUGGAAAGCAGGUGUGUUGUGCAUCGGAGUUUUCUUUUUGCCAGAUUCUACAAAUGCUAUAAAAUAUGUAAAAGGCCUCAUAUAUGUACCUCUUUUGUUGAACAUGUCCGUCGCACGUCUUUUGGGCUAUAAACUUAUUAUGUUUUGCUUAGCAACUAAACCCAAAUAUAUUUUGGGAGAAUAGUUGUAUUUUAGUCUUGUUUCCGCUAGUGCCCAUGGGAUGUAAAUUAAUCUACUUAAAUUGUGUGAUAUCUAUCUUCAAGCUUAAUCCCUCAUCGAUGUUGUAAUAUAUUCCCAUGUUACCUUAGCUCGAGUUCUUGAGAAUAUCCAUCUUCAUUUCUAUUCUAGUUUGUAAA
Molecule: long non-coding RNA, 658 nt
Organism: Salvia miltiorrhiza (redroot sage)
Lineage: Eukaryota; Viridiplantae; Streptophyta; Magnoliopsida; Lamiales; Lamiaceae
Exons: 4
Source: RefSeq, a predicted model, not a curated record